AAAAUUGAUUAAGUACAUAUAGAUGUGGUAACAGAAUAAACAAUAAACACAUAAGGUUAAAACAGCAGACCUCAAUAUCAAAAUCCUCAUUCUGUUCAUCAGACAGCGUGUGUGAAUGAGAUGGAUUCUAUGAGGAAAAUAAAAGUUUUGUUAUGCGUUAAAACUUGAAAAAUGUAUAAGUAGAUGAUAAGGUUCUAAUAUUAUAAACUGUUUGAAAUCUUGAUUACCUCAGAGGAUUGAGAUUGAGUAGGUACCUCCAAUGACUUUUGGCGCUUUGAUCUAGAAGAUAAUGGAACAAAACCGAAAGCCAAAUUUCUGGACCGCUUGAAGGUGACAGUUUUUCUUUUCUUUUCAAGCUUCAUUACACGAUUUGAUAGCUCUUCCACCUUGUUUUGUAGAUCAACGAUCAACCUAGACUUCUCAUCAUCAGAUAGCCUUACAACUUGAUUAAAACGAGUUGAAUAACUAUGCUUGGAUUUGGGAGGGUCAGACUUCACCCGUAGUCUCUUCUUACGAUCCACAAUAUGCUUUUUGUGAACAACAGAAGACUUCUCCUUUGGACUUUUAAUUGAUGGCAAUGUAGCAUCACCUCCUGGCCAAUCACUUUUUUUGAAUUGAUGAGCUGUCAGUAUCAAACCAUUCAUGUAAGAAACUUUCCUGUCUUUCACCUCGUCAUCCCACUCUGCCCAACUUUGGUCAACAUUAAUAUCUUCACCUAUAAGCGGAUCCACAGGUCUCUGUUGAAAAAUAGAAUGUUAUUAUUAGUAAAGAAGACUGAAUAUAUAGAUAGAGAAUAUUAUAGAGACCAUAUAAAAACUUUUGGGUUAGAAAAAAACCUUAAGGUUGCUUUCUAAAGAGUGAAUCUGAGGAAGAGUAAUUAGUUGUGUUGGAUGAGUUAAAUUCUUCCAAUGAAGGAUUGUCAAGGAGGUGUCAUCAAACUUCAGCAAAUCCACCAUUCCAGGUAUGUUUCGAAAAGCUAAGAGCUGCAGGGCAUGCGGAAAACCUUUAAGACGGAAUGUGAUCUGCUGGAGUUGCUUCACCAAAUUCUGAAUAGGAUCGUUUGUGAGCUGUCUUUUACCGGUGCUCUUAGCGAGAAUCCGUUUCUCGGGUGUCAUCGCUUCAACCGUCUUCAUAAACGACUCUCUACCCCAAGGAAACAAAAGGAAUUUCUCUAAAUCUGCCAACAUCUCUACAUAUUUAAAUGUAAGCCUACCGGUUUGGUUAGAUGCUAUGAGGACACCAUCUACAAUGAGUAGGAAAGUGAGCUUCAGUUUGUGGUCAGAAGACAGUUUACUGCGCUUCUUGGUUAGCAUGGCAGAUAUAUCCCCUAAUGUAACCGUCUUGUCUGGACCAAUUAACUCAUUCCAGUAGCUCUUCUUGCCAUCAUCAUAAACAGGAGAAUCUUCAGGGUCAUACUCGUCAGGAAACUCCCCACAAGGUAAGCCAGUCACGGAAGCAAAUUCUAGUAGUGAAAAUCUCAUUGGGUGUCCACCAAAAACUGUCCAAAACUCAUACUUUUUCUUAGUAAGCAACUGUCUACAUAACAAGGCAUGAAUGACCUUACCCGAAGUCGCAACCCUACUAACUGGCAAAUGGAAUAAAGGACCAAAGCAAGACUGAAGUAUAAAAUCUAAUUCCUCUGUCCCAUCAAAAACCUUCUUGAUAAAGGAUAGAAUAUCCGGUCUAGAGUAUACGUUCAGCCUUCCCCUCGGAUAAUGAUCGGUGGCGAAGAGUCUAUUUGGAAGGUUUGAAUCCCACUGAGAAGAUGGUUCCUGAGAUGUCGACCCUGUUCAUUGGCAAGAAACCAGUUCAAGAGAUAACGAUUAGAUUAACGAGUAUUUGUAUAAACGUCUGUGCUUAGCUACAAACAAUUGGGAAACAUUUUUCGAUUCAAAAAAAAAUUGCAGAAACAUUCAGCGAGAAGAGGAUUUCUUCUUCUGAGUUAAUUGGACCAAAAUAAGAUGAUUGGAAACGAUUUGUACCUUCCAUUGAGUAUUCCGAUCAGCGAGAAUCAACUGAAAUGCUAAUGAAUCUGGCUUACGAGAACAAUAAAUCGAAAUCGAAUUCGAUUAUUGCAGAGAUUUGGGGGAAAUUACUAUUUGGUUUUUAUUCAGCGAGUAUAGACUCGCCUGAGUGGCGGAUUGAUGGACAGCGACGGAGGAGUCGCCGGAUUCGGAGCAGUCGACGGAUUGGGAGCAGUGGCGAUGUGGAGAUACAGUAAAUUAGGGUUUUUACUGGGUAAGCGGUUUUUUACGAUCGUGUUGGUAAAUGAAGAUUUAACCCAGACAGUAACUGAUAAUACGUGGUUCAACCGGAACCGGACUAGAGAAAACCGGCUAAAUUUGUUAUGUUUUAUUAAACCAACGAUUUCAGGGUAAAGGGGUAAUUAUACUGAGUUAAAGUGACUAAUGGUUUUAAAGUGUUCUAUUGUGUCCAAAGUUUUGAAAUAGUGCAUCUACGUGUAAUAUUCUCUAUUUUAAUUUGGGUCUAGCGUUACAUUGCAUAAAGUUACAAACAAUAAUUUUGCAUUACCAAAUAACUUAUUUUACAUUUUCAAAAAAUCUAAUCUUAUUAUCUAAAGAAAUCAUAAUCAUUAUUACAAAUAUUACACAGCAAUUCUGCAAAUAUCCAAAUUAUUUACCAAAACCAAACAAAACUUUCUAAUCAUUCACCAAAACCAAAUUUGAAAUUU
Molecule: small RNA, 2692 nt
Filed under: Arabidopsis thaliana (thale cress)
Lineage: Eukaryota; Viridiplantae; Streptophyta; Magnoliopsida; Brassicales; Brassicaceae
Description: ATSL028000
Source: RNAcentral